RNAcentral lists this ribosomal RNA (612 nucleotides) under Paenibacillus polymyxa. RNAcentral's name for it is "bacterial LSU rRNA". It matches the Rfam family "Bacterial large subunit ribosomal RNA", at positions 2246 to 2864 of the family's 2925-position model. Lineage: Bacteria; Bacillati; Bacillota; Bacilli; Caryophanales; Paenibacillaceae. The record is from RNAcentral.
CGAGGACAGUGUCAGGUGGGCAGUUUGACUGGGGCGGUCGCCUCCUAAAGAGUAACGGAGGCGCCCCAAGGUUCCCUCAGAAUGGUUGGAAAUCAUUCGAAGAGUGCAAAGGCAGAAGGGAGCUUGACUGCGAGACCUACAAGUCGAGCAGGGACGAAAGUCGGGCUUAGUGAUCCGGUGGUACCGCAUGGAAGGGCCAUCGCUCAACGGAUAAAAGCUACCCUGGGGAUAACAGGCUUAUCUCCCCCAAGAGUCCACAUCGACGGGGAGGUUUGGCACCUCGAUGUCGGCUCAUCGCAUCCUGGGGCUGAAGUAGGUCCCAAGGGUUGGGCUGUUCGCCCAUUAAAGCGGUACGCGAGCUGGGUUCAGAACGUCGUGAGACAGUUCGGUCCCUAUCUGUCGUGGGCGUAGGAAAUUUGAGAGGAGCUGUCCUUAGUACGAGAGGACCGGGAUGGACGUACCGCUGGUGUACCAGUUGUUCCGCCAGGAGCACCGCUGGGUAGCUAUGUACGGAAGGGAUAAGCGCUGAAAGCAUCUAAGCGUGAAGCCCCCCUCAAGAUGAGAUUUCCCAAUUAGUAAGACCCCUUGAAGACGACGAGGUAGAUAGGUUGG